RNAcentral lists this ribosomal RNA (595 nucleotides) under fungal endophyte. Its description in RNAcentral is "eukaryotic LSU rRNA". The stretch from base 179 to 332 matches the Rfam family "5.8S ribosomal RNA". Lineage: Eukaryota; Fungi. The record is from RNAcentral.
UAAAGAGUUCUAUAACUCCCAAACCCAUGUGAACAUACCUAACGUUGCCUCGGCAGGUCGCACCUACCUUGUAGCACCCUACCCUGUAGGGCCUACCCGGGAGGUGCGGGUAAGCCUGCCGGCGGCCCACCAAACUCUGUUUGAUAUUGAAUUCUGAACCUAUAACUAAAUAAGUUAAAACUUUCAACAACGGAUCUCUUGGUUCUGGCAUCGAUGAAGAACGCAGCGAAAUGCGAUAAGUAAUGUGAAUUGCAGAAUUCAGUGAAUCAUCGAAUCUUUGAACGCAUAUUGCGCCCAUUAGUAUUCUAGUGGGCAGGACCGUUCGAGCGUCAUUUCAACCCUUAAGCCUUCGUUGCUUAGUGUUGGGAGCCUACGGCAACGUAGCUCCUCAAAGUUAGUGGCGGAGUUGGUUCACACUCUAGACGUAGUAAUUUUUUAUCUCGCCUAUUAGUUGGACUAAUCCCCUGCCGUAAAACCCCCAAUUUAUCAAGGUUGACCUCGAAUCGGUUCAGACAAACUCGCUAAAUUGAAGCAUCUUAGUCAGCGAAGGAAAAGAAACCAACAGGGAUUGCCCUAGUAACGGCGAGUGAAGCGG